CUACGGGAGGCUCCAGGCGCGAAACCUUUACAAUGCACGAAAGUGUGAUAAGGGAACCCAAAGUGCUCAUACUUUGUAUGGGCUUUUGCCAAAAGUAAACUUUUUGGCGAAUAAGUGGUGGGAAAGACUGGUGCCAGCCGCCGCGGUAACACCAGCGCCACAAGUGGCAAUCAUGUUUAUUGGGCCUAAAGCGUUCGUAGCCGGUUUGGAAAAUCUUCUGUGAAAGUGUUUGGCUUAACCAAGCAAAUUGCAAGAGACACUACCAAACUAGAGACCGGGAGGAGCUAGGAGUAUUCAAGGGGGAGCGGUAAAAUGUUAUAAUCCUUUGAAGACUACCUGUGGCGAAGGCGCCUAGCUAGAACGGAUCUGACGGUGAGGGACGAAAGCCAGGGGAGCGAUCCGGAUUAGAUACCCUGGUAGUC
This 422-nucleotide ribosomal RNA is filed under the name uncultured archaeon. RNAcentral's name for it is "partial 16S ribosomal RNA". It matches the Rfam family "Archaeal small subunit ribosomal RNA", at positions 323 to 746 of the family's 1478-position model. The record is from RNAcentral.